Bufo bufo (common toad) is the source of this 256-nucleotide long non-coding RNA. RefSeq lists it as uncharacterized. The transcript has 3 exons. NCBI's taxonomy places the organism in Eukaryota, Metazoa, Chordata, Amphibia, Anura, Bufonidae. The record is from RefSeq and is a predicted model, not a curated record.
UUAACUUUUGCCAUGUGGCAGAUUCAAAGCAGAUCGCUGCCCUCCGUCUUAUUGUUACCAGCCACUCCAGCCGCCUGCAGACGUCAUGAAGAAAACCAGCAAUACGAGCCUUCUCCUGAAUGAGCCACCAAGGAUGGACAGGAAGGAGAUCAGCAGAAGAAUAUUAGACCUCACCUUGGAGAUCAUCUCCCUGCUGAGCGGAGAGGAGUACACAAUAGUGAAGAAGACAUCGGGGGACUGUGUGACUCCCAUCAUC